GAUGAACGCUGGCGGCGUGCCUAAUACAUGCAAGUCGAGCGAACAGACGAGGAGCUUGCUCCUCUGACGUUAACGGCGGACAGGUGAGUAACACGUGGAUAACCUACCUAUAAGACUGGGAUAACUUCGGGAAACCGGAGCUAAUACCGGAUAAUAUAUUGAACCGCAUGGUUCAAUAGUGAAAGACGGUUUUGCUGUCACUUAUAGAUGGAUCCGCGCCGCAUUAGCUAGUUGGUAAGGUAACAGCUUACCAAGGCGACGAUGCGUAGCCGACCUGAUCGGGUGAUCGGCCACACUGGAACUGAGAAACGGUCCAGACUCCGACGGGAGGCAGCAGUAGGGAAUCUUCCGCAAUGGGCGAAAGCCUGACGGAGCAACGCCGCGUGAGUGAUGAAGGUCUUCGGAUCGUAAAGCUAUGUUAUUAGGGAAGAAGAAAUGUGUAAGUAACUAUGCACGUCUUGACGGUACCUAAUCAGAAAGCCACGGCUAACUACGUG
This 497-nucleotide ribosomal RNA is filed under the name uncultured bacterium. RNAcentral's name for it is "partial 16S ribosomal RNA". It matches the Rfam family "Bacterial small subunit ribosomal RNA", at positions 28 to 507 of the family's 1533-position model. The record is from RNAcentral.